GGACUACUGGGGUUUCUAAUCCUGUUUGCUCCCCACGCUUUCGCGCCUCAGUGUCAGUUUGAGCCCAGUAAGUCGCCUUCGCCACUGGUGUUCCUUCCGGUAUCUACGCAUUUCACCGCUACUCCGGAAAUUCCACUUACCUCUGCUCUACUCUAGAUGUGCAGUUUUGUAUGCAAUUCCCAGGUUAAGCCCGGGGCUUUCACAUCCAACACACACAUCCACCUACGCGCCCUUUACGCCCAGUCAUUCCGAUUAACGCUCGCAACCUCUGUAUUACCGCGGCUGCUGGCAC
RNAcentral lists this ribosomal RNA (292 nucleotides) under uncultured bacterium. RNAcentral's name for it is "partial 16S ribosomal RNA". The record is from RNAcentral.